RNAcentral lists this ribosomal RNA (497 nucleotides) under uncultured bacterium. Its description in RNAcentral is "partial 16S ribosomal RNA". It matches the Rfam family "Bacterial small subunit ribosomal RNA", at positions 28 to 507 of the family's 1533-position model. The record is from RNAcentral.
GAUGAACGCUGGUGGCGUGCCUAACACAUGCAAGUCGAGCGAACGGACGAGAAGCUUGCUUUUCUGAUGUUAGCGGCGGACGGGUGAGUAACACGUGGAUAACCUACCUAUAAGACUGGGAUAACUUCGGGAAACCGGAGCUAAUACCGGAUAAUAUUUUGAACCGCAUGGUUCAAAAGUGAAAGACGGUCUUGCUGUCACUUAUAGAUGGAUCCGCGCUGCAUUAGCUAGUUGGUAAGGUAACGGCUUACCAAGGCAACGAUGCAUAGCCGACCUGAGAGGGUGAUCGGCCACACUGGAACUGAGACACGGUCCAGACUCCUACGGGAGGCAGCAGUAGGGAAUCUUCCGCAAUGGGCGAAAGCCUGACGGAGCAACGCCGCGUGAGUGAUGAAGGUCUUCGGAUCGUAAAGCUCUGUUAUUAGGGAAGAACAUAUGUGUAAGUAACUGUGCACAUCUUGACGGUACCUAAUCAGAAAGCCACGGCUAACUACGUG